CACGGCCCAGACUCCUACGGGAGGCAGCAGUGGGGAAUUUUGGACAAUGGGCGCAAGCCUGAUCCAGCAAUGCCGCGUGAGUGAAGAAGGCCUUCGGGUUGUAAAGCUCUUUUGUCAGGGAAGAAACGGUGGAGGUUAAUACCUUCUGCUAAUGACGGUACCUGAAGAAUAAGCACCGGCUAACUACGUGCCAGCAGCCGCGGUAAUACGUAGGGUGCAAGCGUUAAUCGGAAUUACUGGGCGUAAAGCGUGCGCAGGCGGUUGUGCAAGACAGAUGUGAAAUCCCCGGGCUCAACCUGGGAAUUGCAUUUGUGACUGUACGGCUAGAGUGUGUCAGAGGGGGGUAGAAUUCCACGUGUAGCAGUGAAAUGCGUAGAGAUGUGGAGGAAUACCGAUGGCGAAGGCAGCCCCCUGGGAUAACACUGACGCUCAUGCACGAAAGCGUGGGGAGCAAACAGGAUUAGAUACCCUGGUAGUCCACGCCCUAAACGAUGUCUACUAGUUGUCGGGUCUUUAUUGACUUGGUAACGCAGCUAACGCGUGAAGUAGACCGCCUGGGGAGUACGGUCGCAAGAUUAAAACUCAAAGGAAUUGACGNA
This 599-nucleotide ribosomal RNA is filed under the name bacterium enrichment culture clone F61x_D81_T3_A11. Its description in RNAcentral is "bacterial SSU rRNA". It matches the Rfam family "Bacterial small subunit ribosomal RNA", at positions 325 to 917 of the family's 1533-position model. The record is from RNAcentral.